RNAcentral lists this ribosomal RNA (204 nucleotides) under uncultured bacterium. RNAcentral's name for it is "partial 16S ribosomal RNA". It matches the Rfam family "Bacterial small subunit ribosomal RNA", at positions 1288 to 1500 of the family's 1533-position model. The record is from RNAcentral.
UCAGUUCAGAUUGCAGGCUGCAACUCGCCUGCAUGAAGUCGGAAUUGCUAGUAAUCGUAGGUCAGCAUACUACGGUGAAUACGUUCCCGGGCCUUGUACACACCGCCCGUCAAGCCAUGGGAGCCGGGGGUGCUUGAAGUGCGUCGCCGCAAGGCGCGCCCUAGAGCAAAACCGGUGACUGGGGCUAAGUCGUAACAAGGUAGC